Molecule: non-coding RNA, 74 nt
Filed under: pig gut metagenome
Description: Cyclic di-GMP-I riboswitch
Rfam family: c-di-GMP-I riboswitch aptamer
About the family: GEMM was predicted in a large-scale screen for bacterial structured RNA regulatory elements.
Source: RNAcentral
UGGCAAACUCACCGAAAGAUGAGGACGCAAAGCCAAGGGUCUAAAGCUAAUAAGCCAUGACAGCCGGUUGCCGU